Non-coding RNA from Salvelinus sp. IW2-2015, 245 nucleotides. Lineage: Eukaryota; Metazoa; Chordata; Actinopteri; Salmoniformes; Salmonidae. The record is from RefSeq and is a predicted model, not a curated record.
AACAAUUUUAUUUUUUGGUGUAGCUGGUCAAGGAAGUUGCACAGAACUUCCCCAACAUCCCAAAUUGUUAUGGAACCUUCAAAAACACAUGGAGCAAAAAGAAAUGGCUGAGGAUAUACUAAAAAUGUCUGAGUUCAACAAAGCCAACAACUGCUUCAUGUGUGCCACUGAURAAGAACCUGGAUGUGGCCCAAAGACUGACUGGAUUGAAUGUUUUGCAUGCCAACGGUGGUUCCAUGUGCUGU